GUAGGUGGCAAGCGUUGUCCGGAAUUAUUGGGCGUAAAGCGCGCGCAGGCGGUUCUUUAAGUCUGAUGUGAAAGCCCACGGCUCAACUGUGGAGGGUCAUUGGAAACUGGAGAACUUGAGUACAGAAGAGGAAAGCGGAAUUCCACGUGUAGCGGUGAAAUGCGUAGAGAUGUGGAGGAACACCAGUGGCGAAGGCGGCUUUCUGGUCUGUAACUGACGCUGAGGCGCGAAAGCGUGGGGAGCAAACAGGAUUAGAUACCCUGGUAGUCCACGCCGUAAACGAUGAGUGCUAAGUGUUAGGGGGUUUCCGCCCCCCUUAGUGCUGCAGCUAACGCAUUAAGCACUCCGCCUGGGAGUACGGCCGCAAGGCUG
This 372-nucleotide ribosomal RNA is filed under the name uncultured organism. RNAcentral's name for it is "partial 16S ribosomal RNA". It matches the Rfam family "Bacterial small subunit ribosomal RNA", at positions 527 to 896 of the family's 1533-position model. The record is from RNAcentral.